UACGGAGGGUGCAAGCGUUGCUCGGAAUCACUGGGCGUAAAGCGUACGCAGGCGGCUCGUUAAGUCGGGUGUGAAAGCCCGGAGCUCAACUCCGGAAUAGCGCCCGAUACUGGCGAGCUUGAGUACGGGAGAGGGAAGCGGAAUUCCUGGUGUAGAGGUGAAAUUCGUAGAUAUCAGGAGGAACACCAGUGGCGAAAGCGGCUUCCUGGUCCGAUACUGACGCUCAUGUACGAAAGCGUGGGUAGCAAACAGG
Molecule: unclassified non-coding RNA, 253 nt
Filed under: uncultured Pseudobdellovibrionaceae bacterium
Lineage: Bacteria; Pseudomonadati; Bdellovibrionota; Bdellovibrionia; Bdellovibrionales; Pseudobdellovibrionaceae
Description: uncultured Bdellovibrionaceae bacterium contains 16S-23S intergenic spacer region
Rfam family: Bacterial small subunit ribosomal RNA
Source: RNAcentral